RNA transcript from Papaver somniferum (opium poppy), 876 nucleotides. RefSeq lists it as uncharacterized. NCBI's taxonomy places the organism in Eukaryota, Viridiplantae, Streptophyta, Magnoliopsida, Ranunculales, Papaveraceae. The transcript has 4 exons. The record is from RefSeq and is a predicted model, not a curated record.
UAUAACCUUCACUUUUCCUAGAUAAGGAGACCUCUUUAUUCUCUAGUUUUUUGUCGUCAUAUUUUUUCUUCUCUCCUAAAAAAUCCGUGAAGGAAAGUUAUAUGCGAUCUUAAUAAAUCCGGCUAAAACCUAAUCGAAUGUUGAAGAAGUUGAAGAAGAUAACUCUUGAUGAAUCUCCUAACAGGAAACAAAAUAAAGCUCAACCCUCGAAAAAUUGGAAUCUUUGAUUUUUAUGUUUAUAAGAAAUUUGUGAUAUUGCAUGAAUGAAUUUCAACCUCAAAUUCCCAACACCCUGAUUGCAAACUCAAAGAAAGAUGAGCUACAGAGAAGCAGAGGAGGAGAAAAUGGAAUGAAAACCCCCGUAGAAGAUAAUUCAGGUAAGGGGUGGCCUAAAAACCCCUCCUUCCAUUAUAGAGAACUUAUCCAUUCAACUUGGUGCACGUAAUGCGCAAUUUGAAUCGGGACUGGAUCAAGAGGAUAGUAAGAUAUUGAUCUUUGCAGGGCUUACCUUGUAGGAUUAGAAGACACUACAAUGGAAGAGAGCGCAACAGCAUUCUGGGAUCGUGUUCUUCACUAUUUUGUCAACUCAAAUGGUAAUUAUCAAGGAAGAACUCCAGAAUGUCUAUCAGAAAGGUUCGGGGGCAUACGUGAUUGUUGUCUUGAAUAUGGAUCAAGAAGCUGCAAUUCUUGCAUAUGCUGCAUCUGUAGGGCGCGAAUUCAAAUUCAUGGAGGCUUAUGAAAUUAUCAAAGGAGAUGUUUUAAGUUUGUAUUAAACUUGCAUUAAGCAUUAUGGAACUAAUAAAGUUUUCUUUUGAUUAUGAUUAUGAGAAACAAGAUUUGUUUGUUUUAUUGCAUUGAAAACAGUAAUUCUUUUCA